CAUUUCGUACAGUUGCCCUGUUGAAGUCACAGGAUUGAUUCACCCUGAGCGUUCCAAUGAAGAUGAGAUGCCGGACCUGCUUUGCUUGCUAUUUUGUGGGAUGGAGAGAGCCGUUAUUCUAUGACUGGAGCUGCAGAGGGGAGGAGGGAGAAGAGUUUAUUAGAAACCUACCAAGAUCAUGGAUAAUCAGGAAAGCAAUAUUCAUCAUCGGGGCUCCACACCAUCCAUAACGUGCUCUCUUCUCACUGCUGCCAUCAGGAAGAAGGUCUAGAAACCUCAGGCAUCGCAUCACCAGGUUCAGGAAAAGUUAUUACCCCUCAACCAUCAGGCUCUUGAGCCAAAGGAGAUAACUUCACUUGCUCCAUUACUGAAAUGGUCCUACAUGUCCUGUGGACUUACUUUCAAGGACUCAUCAUCUUAUUUAUUUAUUACUAUUAUUUAUUACUUUUCUAUUUGCACAUUUUGUUGUCUUUUUACAUUGGUUAAUCAUCCAAGUUGGUGCAAUCUUUCAUUGAUUCUAUUGUGGAUUUUUUGAGUAUGCUCACAAGCAGAAUCUCAGCGUUGUAUGUGGUGACGUAUAUGAGUACUUUGACGAUAAAUAUACUUUGAACUUUAAAAGUGUGGACAAUUGGUUUGCAUUUUAGACAAUAGACAAUAGGUGCAGAAGUAGAUCAUUCGGCCCUUCGAGCCUGCACCGCCAUUUUGAGAUCAUGGCUGAUCAAUUACUAUCAAUACUCUGUUCCUGCCUUGUCCCCA
Long non-coding RNA from Hypanus sabinus (Atlantic stingray), 756 nucleotides. RefSeq lists it as uncharacterized. NCBI's taxonomy places the organism in Eukaryota, Metazoa, Chordata, Chondrichthyes, Myliobatiformes, Dasyatidae. The record is from RefSeq and is a predicted model, not a curated record. The transcript has 3 exons.